AGAAAAUAAAAGAAAAACAAUUUCCUUUUCUUCUUCUCCCACGCACGAUCCCCCUUUUCUUCUUCAUCUUCUCCUAUUUCUCUCCCUACCCAGUCGCCUCACAUCUCCCCUCUCCUUUUUGCUCGUCCGCCAACCACCAUCACCGCCCAAAUCUUCUCAUCCCGCCCUCGCCGUUGCACUAUUUGCCUGAAGUCGUCGUCCGUCCAGGUUACAAAGCCGCCGCGUACUGUUUCUGUUCGUGGUGCAUCCCACUGCUUCCUGCAGCCGUCAAACAUCUCCUCUCUCCCUUCUCCUUCUUUUUUCUGGCGCCGCCGUUACCCAAACCCCCAACUGCUCAUCGUGGUUCGUCAGCGCCUCCCUGCUGUCCAGAUCCGCAACCACUCGAGCCACUUCAUCACAUUGUCCGUCAUCUUCUGCUAGUUGCACUGCUCGAAAAUCCGCGUUGCUCAGCUUGCACAAGUCUUCUGCCUCACGUUUUGUGUCGUCGUGACGUUCGCAACCGUUCCACACCGCCACAACUUUCCAUAUUCCAACUAAGGGUUUUGUUCCGCUUUCGUCAACCAUCUGCACCACUGCGUUUGUUCGUCGGCCGACAGUAAGGCAGCAUCGUGCUUCUUCUUCCAGCCGCGAUUCACAUACCAAUGUACACUCUAAUCUGUUUGUACGAUCUUUGUCGUUUAGGUUCGAUCGCCGUUGCCGCUGUUUUGUUGUGUUGGAAGUAACGUUGAGUCCCUUGAAUUCACAACCAACUUGUAAAUUGUUGGAGUUCGGUUCGCUAAUACCUUGAGUCUUUCGUUGGAUAUAGUUUGUUCGAGAAAUUGAGUUACCUUGAGGCAAAGGUAAUAAAGGCGGCAAACCGGCGAGGGGCAGGAAGGAAGCGUGACCGCCACAAGGGACACUUUAAAAUUUUACCGCCACAGGGGACACUUUAAAAUUUUACUUCCGCUUAGUGAUUUAUAGUAUUAAUUGUAUUCGAACGUGAGACUGUUUAGAAAAUUUUGAGGUUUUAAAGUAUUCAAAGAUUUGAAUCUUUUUAGUUUUAAA
Molecule: long non-coding RNA, 1044 nt
Organism: Cucumis sativus (cucumber)
Lineage: Eukaryota; Viridiplantae; Streptophyta; Magnoliopsida; Cucurbitales; Cucurbitaceae
Exons: 3
Source: RefSeq, a predicted model, not a curated record